GAUGAACGCUGGCGGCGUGCCUAAUACAUGCAAGUCGAGCGAACUGAUUAGAAGCUUGCUUCUAUGACGUUAGCGGCGGACGGGUGAGUAACACGUGGGCAACCUGCCUGUAAGACUGGGAUAACUUCGGGAAACCGAAGCUAAUACCGGAUAGGAUCUUCUCCUUCAUGGGAGAUGAUUGAAAGAUGGUUUCGGCUAUCACUUACAGAUGGGCCCGCGGUGCAUUAGCUAGUUGGUGAGGUAACGGCUCACCAAGGCAACGAUGCAUAGCCGACCUGAGAGGGUGAUCGGCCACACUGGGACUGAGACACGGCCCAGACUCCUACGGGAGGCAGCAGUAGGGAAUCUUCCGCAAUGGACGAAAGUCUGACGGAGCAACGCCGCGUGAGUGAUGAAGGCUUUCGGGUCGUAAAACUCUGUUGUUAGGGAAGAACAAGU
This 438-nucleotide ribosomal RNA is filed under the name Priestia megaterium. RNAcentral describes it as "bacterial SSU rRNA". It matches the Rfam family "Bacterial small subunit ribosomal RNA", at positions 28 to 454 of the family's 1533-position model. Lineage: Bacteria; Bacillati; Bacillota; Bacilli; Caryophanales; Bacillaceae. The record is from RNAcentral. RNAcentral also lists the same sequence under 2 other names.